RNAcentral lists this ribosomal RNA (245 nucleotides) under uncultured bacterium. RNAcentral describes it as "partial 16S ribosomal RNA". It matches the Rfam family "Bacterial small subunit ribosomal RNA", at positions 524 to 768 of the family's 1533-position model. The record is from RNAcentral.
UACAGAGGUCCCAAGCGUUGUUCGGAUUCACUGGGCGUAAAGGGUGCGUAGGUGGUAGGGUAAGUCUGCCGUGAAAUCUCCGGGCCCAACCCGGAAACUGCGGUGGAUACUAUCCUGCUCGAGGGUUGGAAGGGGGACUGGAAUUCUCGGUGUAGCAGUGAAAUGCGCAGAUAUCGAGAGGAACACCAGUGGCGAAGGCGAGUCCCUGGACAACUCCUGACGCUGAGGCACGAAAGCUAGGGGAU